UACGGAGGGGGCUAGCGUUGUUCGGAAUUACUGGGCGUAAAGCGCACGUAGGCGGCUUUGUAAGUUAGAGGUGAAAGCCCGGGGCUCAACUCCGGAAUUGCCUUUAAGACUGCAUCGCUAGAAUCAUGGAGAGGUGAGUGGAAUUCCGAGUGUAGAGGUGAAAUUCGUAGAUAUUCGGAAGAACACCGGUGGCGAAGGCGACCUUCUGGGCCGCAACUGACGCUGAGGCACGAAAGCCUGGGGAGCAAACGGG
Molecule: ribosomal RNA, 253 nt
Filed under: uncultured bacterium
Lineage: Bacteria
Description: partial 16S ribosomal RNA
Rfam family: Bacterial small subunit ribosomal RNA
Source: RNAcentral